RNAcentral lists this ribosomal RNA (253 nucleotides) under uncultured bacterium. Its description in RNAcentral is "partial 16S ribosomal RNA". It matches the Rfam family "Bacterial small subunit ribosomal RNA", at positions 524 to 776 of the family's 1533-position model. The record is from RNAcentral.
UACGUAGGGUGCAAGCGUUGUCCGGAAUUAUUGGGCGUAAAGAGCUCGUAGGCGGUCUGUCACGUCUGCUGUGAAAAUUCGGGGCUCAACCCCGGACCUGCAGUGGGUACGGGCAGACUAGAGUGCGGUAGGGGAGACUGGAAUUCCUGGUGUAGCGGUGAAAUGCGCAGAUAUCAGGAGGAACACCGGUGGCGAAGGCGGAUCUCUGGGCCAUUACUGACGCUGAGGAGCGAAAGCGUGGGGAGCGAACAGG